This is a long non-coding RNA of Dipodomys ordii (Ord's kangaroo rat), 411 nucleotides long. RefSeq lists it as uncharacterized. The transcript has 4 exons. NCBI's taxonomy places the organism in Eukaryota, Metazoa, Chordata, Mammalia, Rodentia, Heteromyidae. The record is from RefSeq and is a predicted model, not a curated record.
UCAAACCACGAUCCUCAGUUCUCAGACUCCUGAGCAGCUAGGAUUACAGGUGUGAGCCACCGGCGCUUGGUGCUUUGUUACUUCUUAUAUUCUUGGUCUACCAUUCUCACGAACAACUGUUAUUUGGAGAAGACAGAGUGACAGAUAAUUAUGAUAUUUAAUACUUGCCCUUCAGGCUGAAGGCAAAGAUAGCUGCAAGAUUGGAUAACAACUGUGAGUUUGAAGGACUGACUGAAAAUAAUCCACUUUCUUUAGAACAACCCAUGGCGUUGUUAGAGGCAAUUUCACAGUUGAUUCUGAAUAAAAUGCCAACUGCAGAGUAUUCCAGCUUGUUGAAUGACUUUGUUGAAUCUGAGUUUUUUCUGAUCAAUGGAGACUCCUUACUGAUCACGUGUAUAUGUAAGAAGUCAC